RNAcentral lists this ribosomal RNA (513 nucleotides) under uncultured bacterium. RNAcentral's name for it is "partial 16S ribosomal RNA". It matches the Rfam family "Bacterial small subunit ribosomal RNA", at positions 28 to 507 of the family's 1533-position model. The record is from RNAcentral.
GACGAACGCUGGCGGCGUGCUUAACACAUGCAAGUCGAACGAGAGCGUAGAGAAAGCUUGCUUUUUCUACAGUCUAGUGGCGAACGGUUGAGUAACGCGUAAACAACCUGCCCUACGGAUGGGGACAACAGCUGGAAGCGUCUGCUAAGACCGAAUGCGUUCCGAACGUCGGCUGACUCUCGGUAGAAAGGUUGGCCUCUAUUUAUGAGCUAUCGCCGGAGGAGGGGUUUGCGUCUGAUUAGCUGGUUGGGGGGGUAACGGGCCACCAAGGCGACGAUCAGUAGCCGGUCUGGGAGGAUGAACGGCCACACUGGAACGGAGACAAGGUCCAGACUACUACGGGAGGCAGCAGUGGGGAAGCUUCCGCAAUGGGAGAAAGGCUGACGGAGCAAAGCCGCGGGGGGGAAGAGGGCCUUCGGGUUGGAAAGCUCUGUUAUACGGGACGAAUAAUCUUGUGGUUAAUACCCAGGAGAAGUGACGGUACCGUAAGAGAAAGCCACGGCUAACUACGUG